Molecule: ribosomal RNA, 390 nt
Filed under: candidate division CSSED10-310 bacterium
Lineage: Bacteria; candidate division CSSED10-310
Description: partial 23S ribosomal RNA
Rfam family: Bacterial large subunit ribosomal RNA
Source: RNAcentral
UUUGGCUGUUCGCCAAUUAAAGCGGUACGCGAGCUGGGUUUAGAACGUCGUGAGACAGUUCGGUCCCUAUCUGCCGUGGGCGUAGGAUAUUUGAGAGGAGCUGCCCGUAGUACGAGAGGACCCGGGUGGACGAACCUCUAGUGUGCCAGUUGUCACGCCAGUGGCAUUGCUGGGUAGCUACGUUCGGAUUGGAUAAGCGCUGAAAGCAUCUAAGUGCGAAGCCAACCUCAAGACUAGAUAUCCCUGCCGUAAGGCACUAAAGGCGCCACGGAGACUACGUGGUUGAUAGGCCAGGAGUGUAAAGGUGGCAACACCUACGAGAAAUUGGUUCAGCUUGCUGGAUCGAAGACUCAAGCUUACUGGUACUAAUCCGCCGUGAGACUUAGCUGA